UCGUCUCAGUGAAUGAACUCCUACUUAACGAUUGAAGGGAAGAUGUAUCAGAGUCCAUCAGGCUGGUAUGGAAGAGAACAGAAGGGCUUAUUUUACACAUCCUGCCAGGGUGAUGUGAUGAAAGCCAGAUGUCACCCUGCAUGUGCAAAGGGGUUUGGGCAUUAUAGAAGAGGAACUCCAAAACUAUGAAUCUGGGAACUGAAUGAAGUCCCAGUGCCAUAUAUAGCUGCGACGGUGACUGAGAAGCAUGACCUUUCAUCCGAGCGUACUGCUGUACUGAGUAAAGUUGGAAUUUUAUUGUCAAGGACAAAGGGAAGAAUGGUGGACAACAACUUUCUGUCACAGGUUCUAAGAAGAAUUAUAUCCCCCGAGCCAUCUACUUCCUCACCCUGAUUCCCUCUCCCGAGAGGCAACUAUUUUCAACUCUUAACUGUUUUCCCUAGGUUUUGUUUUCAUACUCAGACAACAACAACACUGUUCUGCUAAUUCAUUAUGUCCUUGUUUUAAAUGAUAUUUAUUUAUUUUACUAUCGGAAAUGAGGAUUUUAUCUCUCUUG
Molecule: long non-coding RNA, 556 nt
Organism: Galeopterus variegatus (Sunda flying lemur)
Lineage: Eukaryota; Metazoa; Chordata; Mammalia; Dermoptera; Cynocephalidae
Exons: 3
Source: RefSeq, a predicted model, not a curated record